Molecule: ribosomal RNA, 33 nt
Filed under: Desmarestia dudresnayi
Lineage: Eukaryota; Phaeophyceae; Desmarestiales; Desmarestiaceae
Description: partial 25S ribosomal RNA
Source: RNAcentral
ACCCGCUGAAUUUAAGCAUAUAACUAAGCGGAG